RNAcentral lists this ribosomal RNA (484 nucleotides) under uncultured bacterium. RNAcentral describes it as "partial 16S ribosomal RNA". It matches the Rfam family "Bacterial small subunit ribosomal RNA", at positions 30 to 507 of the family's 1533-position model. The record is from RNAcentral.
AUUGAACGCUGGCGGCAGGCCUAACACAUGCAAGUCGAGCGGAUGAAGGGAGCUUGCUCCUGGAUUCAGCGGCGGACGGGUGAGUAAUGCCUAGGAAUCUGCCUGGUAGUGGGGGAUAACGUCCGGAAACGGGCGCUAAUACCGCAUACGUCCUGAGGGCGAAAGUGGGGGUUCUUCGGACCUCACGCUAUCAUAUGAGCCUAGGUCGGAUUAGCUAGUUGGUGGGGUAAAGGCCUACCAAGGCGACGAUCCGUAACUGGUCUGAGAGGAUGAUCAGUAACACUGGAAGUGAGACACGGAACAGACGACUAAGGGAGGCAGCAGUGGGGAAUAUUGGACAAUGGGCGAAAGCAUGAUACAGCAAAGCCGAGUGUGUGAAGAAGGUCUUCGGAUUGUAAAGCAGUUUAAGGUGGGAGGAAGGGAAGUAAGAUAAUACCUUGAUGUUUUGACGUUACCAACAGAAUAAGCACCGGCUAACUACGUG